AUUGAACGCUGGCGGCAGGCCUAACACAUGCAAGUCGAACGAGUGGCGGACGGGUGAGUAAUGUCUGGGAAACUGCCUGAUGGAGGGGGAUAAGUACUGGAAACGGUAGAUAAUACCGCAUACCAUCGGAUGUGCCCAGAUGGGAUUAGCUAGUAGGUGGGGUAAAGGCUCACCUAGGCGACGAUGCCGAGCAGGUCUGAGAGGAUGACCAGCCACACUGGAACUGAGACACGGUCCAGACUCCUACGGGAGGCAGCAGUGGGGAAUAUUGCGCAAUGGACGCAAGCCUGACGCAGCCAUGCCGCGUGUAUGAAGAAGGCCUUCGGGUUGUAAAGUACUUUCGGCGGAGAGGCGUUACCCGCAGAGGAAGCACCGGCUAACUCCGUGCCAGCAGCCGCGGUAAUUC
RNAcentral lists this ribosomal RNA (406 nucleotides) under uncultured bacterium. Its description in RNAcentral is "partial 16S ribosomal RNA". It matches the Rfam family "Bacterial small subunit ribosomal RNA", at positions 30 to 526 of the family's 1533-position model. The record is from RNAcentral.